AGUGAACGCUGGCGGCAUGCCUAAUACAUGCAAGUCGAGCGGCCGCGCGGGGGGAAUCCUCCCCGCGCGCUGCCGACGGGCGGGUAAUUCGCCCGAAGCUGCCUUCCUGUAGGGCAUAACGUAGGUAAACUAACGCUAAUACCGCCUACGUCCUAUGUUGAAACGUGUGGGUCCGCAAUGCAUGACGCAGUAGCAUUAACCUACGCCCGAUUAGCUAGUUGGUAGGGUAAAGGCCCACCAAGGCGACGAUCGGUAGCUGGUCUGAGAGGAUGAUCAGCCACACUGGGACUGAGACACGGCCCAGACUCCUACGGGAGGCAGCAGUGGGGAAUAUUGGACAAUGGGCGAAAGCCUGAUCCAGCCAUGCCGCGUGUGUGAAGAAGGUCUUCGGGUUGUAAAGCACUUUUGUCAGGAAAGAAAUCACUGGAGCUAAUCCCUUCGGGGGAUGACGGUACCGGAAGAAUAAGCACCGGCUAACUUCGUG
RNAcentral lists this ribosomal RNA (484 nucleotides) under uncultured bacterium. RNAcentral describes it as "partial 16S ribosomal RNA". It matches the Rfam family "Bacterial small subunit ribosomal RNA", at positions 29 to 507 of the family's 1533-position model. The record is from RNAcentral.